GAUGAACGCUGGCGGCGUGCCUAAUACAUGCAAGUCGAGCGAACAGACGAGGAGCUUGCUCCUCUGACGUUAGCGGCGGACGGGUGAGUAACACGUGUAUAACCUACCUAUAAGACUGGGAUAACUUCGGGAAACCGGAGCUAAUACCGGAUAAUAUAUUGAACCGCAUGGUUCAAUAGUUAAAGACGGUAUUGCUGUCACUUAUAGAUGGAUCCGCGCCGCAUUCGCUAGUUGGUAAGGUAACGGCUUACCAAGGCAACGAUGCGUAGACGACCUGAGAGGGUGACCGGACACACUGGAACUGAGACACGGUCCAGACUCCUACGAGAGGCAGCAGUAGGGAAUCUUCCGGCAGGGGCGAAAGCCUGACGGAGCAACGCCGCGUGAGUGAUGAACGUCUUCGGAUCGUAAAACUCUGUUAUUAGGGAAGAACAAAUGUGUAAGUAACUAUGCACGUCUUGACGGUACCUAAUCAGAAAGCCACGGCUAACUACGUG
RNAcentral lists this ribosomal RNA (497 nucleotides) under uncultured bacterium. RNAcentral describes it as "partial 16S ribosomal RNA". It matches the Rfam family "Bacterial small subunit ribosomal RNA", at positions 28 to 507 of the family's 1533-position model. The record is from RNAcentral.